ACCAGUGAGGAACUUGGAACCUGUCUGACCCCGCGCUUUCCUUUGACUCCACCCCUCUCAAGGGCUCACUUCUCCCUUAACCCCGCCCCUCUACUGGUCUCGCCUCCAAUCCGGACUCGCUAGCAAAGUCAGGCCCCUUUAGCUCAGACUCCAGUAGCCCCAAGCCACUCUGGAGCUGCUGAGAACAGAGAUGCUACGGUGCCCACCUCGUCCAGUCGUCUGUCUGUGCCUAAGGAAAUGAGGUUGCUGAAUUCCUUCUCCAGGAGUUGCCGGGCCUGGAAAGGGGAGCUGUUCCUGAAGCAUAAUGGCCAACGUCUGCACAUCAGCCUGCCCACUGGGGGACAGCAGCUCAGCUCCAAACAUCCCUUCUGCCUCCUCCUCAUCUGACCCAUCCAGCUCGCCAGGGAACGGAGGUGGUAUGGAACCUGCAGGGGCCGACCGCUCCCAAUCCUGCCUCUGUUGCUCUCCAAGCCAUCACAUACCCAGGACUCCACCCCUUUCCCUCCCCAUUUUCUUGAGGCCUCCCACUCUCAUAUGCACCUGGCCCCACCAGGUGGGGGGGAUUCUACAUGCUUCUCCUCAUCCCAUUGUUACUCUCAAGUUCUCACCAAGUAGCAGGAUAUUUGCAUGAAGAGACAUCCAGGCAAGAGGGAUGAUGGAAUUGUGGGGAAGGACAGAAGACAGGGUGAGUACAGGAGACUCUGCUUCUCAACCCAGCCUCCUCCCAGGGCCCCUUGUAUUUGGCUCUA
This is a long non-coding RNA of Nycticebus coucang (slow loris), 749 nucleotides long. RefSeq lists it as uncharacterized. The record is from RefSeq and is a predicted model, not a curated record. The transcript is spliced from 3 exons. NCBI's taxonomy places the organism in Eukaryota, Metazoa, Chordata, Mammalia, Primates, Lorisidae.